This 75-nucleotide transfer RNA is filed under the name bacterium. RNAcentral's name for it is "tRNA-Val". It matches the Rfam family "tRNA". Rfam says of the family: Transfer RNA (tRNA) molecules are approximately 80 nucleotides in length. The record is from RNAcentral. RNAcentral also lists the same sequence under 3 other names.
GGGCGGUUAGAUCAGGGGGAGAUCGCUUCGUUGACACCGAAGAGGCCAUUGGUUCAAAUCCAAUACCGCCCACCA